This 76-nucleotide transfer RNA is filed under the name Chloroflexota bacterium. RNAcentral's name for it is "Chloroflexi bacterium tRNA-Arg". It matches the Rfam family "tRNA". From Rfam's summary of the family: Transfer RNA (tRNA) molecules are approximately 80 nucleotides in length. Their secondary structure includes four short double-helical elements and three loops (D, anti-codon, and T loops). The record is from RNAcentral. RNAcentral also lists the same sequence under 3 other names. Lineage: Bacteria; Bacillati; Chloroflexota.
GCGCCUGUAGCUCAGUGGAUAGAGCGAGUGGCUUCGGACCACUAGGUCGCGGGUUCGAAUCCUGCCGGGCGCGCCA